RNAcentral lists this ribosomal RNA (545 nucleotides) under Pleosporales sp. 1 ICMP 18945. Its description in RNAcentral is "eukaryotic LSU rRNA". The stretch from base 195 to 348 matches the Rfam family "5.8S ribosomal RNA". Lineage: Eukaryota; Fungi; Ascomycota; Dothideomycetes; Pleosporales. The record is from RNAcentral.
UGAGGAAGUAAAAGUCGUAACAAGGUUUCCGUAGGUGAACCUGCGGAAGGAUCAUUAUCGUGGGGAUUCGUCCCUAUCGAGAUAGCACCCUUUGUCUAUGAGUACCUUCUGUUUCCUCGGCGGGCUUGCCCGCCAACGGGGACCACAAAAACCCUUUGUAAUAGCAGUUACUUCUGAUAACAAACAAAUAUUAAAACUUUCAACAACGGAUCUCUUGGUUCUGGCAUCGAUGAAGAACGCAGCGAAAUGCGAUAAGUAGUGUGAAUUGCAGAAUUCAGUGAAUCAUCGAAUCUUUGAACGCACAUUGCGCCCUUCGGUAUUCCGUAGGGCAUGCCUGUUCGAGCGUCAUUUAAACCUUCAAGCUCUGCUUGGUGUUGGGUGUUUGUCCCGCCUCUGUGCGUGGACUCGCCUCAAAAGUAUUGGCAGCCGAUAGAUCGGCUUCGUGCGCAGCACAAACGCGCGUCGAGGUCCCUCUAUUGAUUUCCAGAAGACCCUUUUUUAUUUUGACCUCGGAUCAGGUAGGGAUACCCGCUGAACUUAAGCAU